UACCAGCACCCCGAGUGGUCGGGACGAUUAUUGGGCCUAAAGCAUCCGUAGCCGGUUCUACAAGUCUUCCGUUAAAUCCACCUGCUCAACAGUUGGGCUGCGGAGGAUACUAUAGAGCUAGGAGGCGGGAGAGGCAAGCGGUACUUAGUGGGUAGGGGUAAAAUCCGUUGAUCCAUUGAAGACCACCAGUAGCGAAGGCGGCUUGCCAGAAUGCGCUCGACGGUGAGGGAUGAAAGCUGGGGGAGCAAACCGG
RNAcentral lists this ribosomal RNA (253 nucleotides) under uncultured bacterium. RNAcentral's name for it is "partial 16S ribosomal RNA". It matches the Rfam family "Archaeal small subunit ribosomal RNA", at positions 474 to 727 of the family's 1478-position model. The record is from RNAcentral.